This is a long non-coding RNA of Oncorhynchus tshawytscha (Chinook salmon), 2220 nucleotides long. Lineage: Eukaryota; Metazoa; Chordata; Actinopteri; Salmoniformes; Salmonidae. The record is from Ensembl.
CUCGCAUUAACAUCUGCUAACCAUGUGUGUGUGACAAAUAACAUUUUAUUUGAUUUAUACAAUAACAUAAUAGUAUUCAGAUUAGUACAUAUACAGUAACAUACUAGUAUUCUGAUUAGUCAGUCCUGAUUGAAAUGUAUACAUAAUUAGUCAUCAUUGAUAAAAAUUCCCUUAACAGCCAGCCAGACCAGUUGGAUAACAUGAUAGAGCUCUAUGGCCAGUCAGACCAGUUGGAUAACAUGAUAAUAGAGCUCUUUGGCCAGCCAGACCAGUUGGAUAACAUGAUAGAGCUCUUUGGCCAGUCAGAUAACAUGAUAAUAGAGCUAUGGCCAGCCAGACCAGUUGGAUAUAACAUGAGAAUAGAGCUCUUUGACCAGUCAGAUAACAUGGUAAUAGAGCUCUUUGGCCAGUCAGAUAACAUGAUAGAGCUCUUUGGCCAGUCAGACAACAUGGUAAUAGAGCUCUUUGGCCAGUCAGAUAACAUGAUAAUAGAGCUCUUUGGCCAGCCAGACCAGUUGGAUAACAUGAUAGAGCUCUUUGACCAGUCAGACCAGUUGGAUAACAUGAUAAUAGAGCUCUUUGUCCAGUCAGAUAACAUGAUAAUAGAGCUCUUUGGCCAGUUGGAUAACAUGAUAAGAGCUCUUUGGCCAGUCAGACCAGUUGGAUAACAUGGUAAUAGAGCUCUUUGGCCAGUCAGAUAUAACAUGAUAGAGCUCUUUGGCCAGUCAGACCAGUUGGAUAUAACAUGAUAAGAGCUCUUUGGCCAGUCAGACCAGUUGGAUAUAACAUGAGAAUAGAGCUCUUUGGCCAGUCAGAUAACAUGAUAAUAGAGCUCUUUGGCCAGUCAGAUAACAUGAUGAUAGAGCUCUUUGGCCAGCCAGACAAGUUGGAUAACAUGAUAGAGCUCUUUGGCCAGUCAGAUAACAUGGUAAUAGAGCUCUUUGGCCAGUCAGAUAACAUGAGAAUAGAGCUCUUUGGCCAGUCAGACCAGUUGGAUAACAUGAGAGCUCUUUGGCCAGGCACUUGAACCCCAUUGAAAAGCUGUGUUUUGAAUGGAAGAGGGCAGACCAUAACCCCAGAGGAAGCAGGAUAUCUAUGAUCUGAAAGGAUUCUGUAUGGAGGGAUAGUUUAAGAUCCCUUCCUAUGUUUAUUACCUUCUCAGAAAACAUUUUAGAAAAAGGCCACGCCGUUAUCCUCGCAAGGUGAGGUAUUGAAAACUGGUGUCAAUUUUUACUAACAUUUGAGGAGAACAUUUUGUUUAACAAUCUCUUUGAACAAUUGUAUAAGUAUACAAUUUGGGAAAUGUUUAAGCAUAAAAUAUAACUCAGAAUAUGAAUUGUUUUUGCUCAUCUUUAUCAAGGGUGUCAAUCAUUUCAGCCCCCACUAUCCAGAAUAAUCACUAUGUUGAAUAUAAUUUCAGCCCCCACUAUAAUCACUACGUUGAAUGUGCUGGCUGGUUUGACUUUCAGAUGAUUGAUGAUGUCAUCUAGUUUCAUUAGGACCACUCCUCCUCCUCAACAUUCUUACCUACAGCUCAGACACUAGGCCACAGUAGCAGAGAUGUUCUGUUACCUACUGUACAGACACUAGGCUACAGUAGCAGAGAUGUUCUGUUACCUACUGUACAGACACUAGGCUACAGUAGCAGAGAUGCUUUGUUUCCUACUGUUGACACUUGGCUACAGUAGCAGAGAUGCUUUGUUUCCUACUGUACAGACACUAGGCUACAGUAGCAGAGAUGUUCUGUUACCUACUGUACAGCCACUAGGCUACAGUAGCAGAGAUGUUACCUACUGUACAGCCACUAGGCUACAGUAGCAGAGAUGUUACCUACUGUACAGCCACUAGGCUACAGUAGCAGAGAUGUUCUGUUACCUGCAGCUCACAGACACUAGACUACAGUAGCAGAGAUGUUCUGUUACCUACUGUACAGUAGGAGAGAUGUUCUGUUUGACUCCUCAUAGCAGAACACCUUGAUGGAACCAGGAAGUCAGCAUGGUCUGUAACGUUUGACCCCUCAUCAGUACACCUUGAUGGAACCAGGUUAGCAACGAUUGACCCCUCAUCAGUACACCUUGAUAGACCAUGCUGACUUCCUGGUUCCGUAACGUUUGACCCCUCCUAUCGGUACACCUUGAUGGAACCAGGAAGUCAGCAUGGUCUGUAACGUUUGACCCCUCAUCAGUACACCUUGAUGGAACCAGGAAGUCAGCAUGGUCU